Molecule: ribosomal RNA, 421 nt
Filed under: uncultured bacterium
Lineage: Bacteria
Description: bacterial SSU rRNA
Rfam family: Bacterial small subunit ribosomal RNA
Source: RNAcentral
AUUGAACGCUGGCGGAAUGCUUUACACAUGCAAGUCGAGCGGCAGCGCGGGGGCAACCCUGGCGGCGAGCGGCGAACGGGUGAGUAACAUAUCGGAACGUACCCCGUCGUGGGGGAUAACACAGCGAAAGCUGUGCUAAUACCGCAUACGACCUGAGGGUGAAAGCGGGGGAUCGCAAGACCUCGCGCGAUGGGAGCGGCCGAUAUCGGAUUAGCUUGUUGGUGAGGUAAAGGCUCACCAAGGCGACGAUCCGUAGCUGGUCUGAGAGGACGACCAGCCACACUGGAACUGAGACACGGUCCAGACUCCUACGGGAGGCAGCAGUGGGGAAUUUUGGACAAUGGGGGCAACCCUGAUCCAGCCAUUCCGCGUGAGUGAAGAAGGCCUGGUUGUAAGACGUCUUCUAGCAGGACGAAACGGU